This is a long non-coding RNA of Brassica rapa (field mustard), 4581 nucleotides long. RefSeq lists it as uncharacterized. The record is from RefSeq and is a predicted model, not a curated record. Lineage: Eukaryota; Viridiplantae; Streptophyta; Magnoliopsida; Brassicales; Brassicaceae.
AGACAGAGAAAGACAAGAAAAUUAUUCGAAGAUUAGUUUUCCCUGGGGGAAAACGAGACGCACGCACACAGUUUUUAACGGAUCAGCGCUAGAUCACUAAGCUGACGACACGGUCCACACAACUUACGGGAUAACAUUUAACAGAUCGAUCAUCCUUUUGAUAUAUGAUUGUUGCAUUACAUCCACCACAGACCAGAGAUUUAAGACUAGGCAUAGGACGCCAGGAACUACAACAAGGACAUUUCACUGUUCCUCCUGUGCUGCUUCUAUAAGAUAAAUUAGCCUUACAGUUUUUACAUGGAAGCCUAGCUGCAAUCAGAUGCCCUGUAAUAACAAAUCAAGAUCUUAAUUAACUAUUCGAUUGAGAAAAAAAGACCAUUGCUAUAACUUACAACGAAUGAAUAGAAACAGAGUUUGGUUUAUAGAUACCGAGAUGAGGUGUGAAUGGAACGUGACAUUGUGGACAGAUGACUCUUAGUCCUCCUGUUCCAAGCUCAGCAAAAUGAAAUCUUCCUCGUCCGUUUGCUUGGUUCUGCAUAGCUCUGAGAACACACAAACCAAAGAAGAUUUAACAAUCGAGAAUUUCGAAACAUCAAAGGGAAGAGCAAAAGAUUUUGUUUACCUUGAAGAUGAUAAAAGAGUGUUUUUGUAAUAUGAAAAGAGAUUAUGAGUUAAAGCAAAAAGGUCUUUGUUGGUCCUUUUAUUAACCAUGAACAGUCAUAAACGUACGUUUUUAAGCAACUCUUCAUGUAUAUAACUUUAAUGUAAUUUUAUUAACUUGGAGAAAUUCUUAUCUAUUUUAGCUUAACUUUUCCCAUAUAUAUAAAAAUUCGUAAAAGAAUGAACAUGAAAAUUCGUCUCCAUUUCUCCAUUGUAGGAAAAACAGAAUAAGAUCUUUUAUUUUAAACACAUCCACCCGCGCCUUAUACAAAUAAAUCAUUUCUUAAAAAAUGUUUAAGACGCGGUUGGAUGUGUUUCAAAUAAAGUAUAUAUGUAUGUGUAGUCAAAUGUAUCUUAUUCUUUUCAAAAAAAAUUGAUUUGUGCCAAAUGCACAUCAUUGUUUAAGACAUCAUUGUUUAAGACGCAGUUGAAUGUGUUAAAAAAUAGAUGUACAAGAGAUUUGUUUAAUUAGGAGUUUAAGAUGAUUUGUUUUAAAAUGACAAAUUUAUUGUUAUACAAGCACAAUUUUUUUUAAAAGUGAGUGUCAUAGAAUUACUAUUUGAUAAAUUGUAUUUGAAAUCCAAUGUCUUUAAAUAUUUUAAAUUAUAUCUGUCAGAAGUCUUCUUAUCAUUUUAGAGUGUUUAACUAGAGUUUCUUAGUUUAAAAUUUAAAAAUAAAAAACGUACUACUUGAUAAAAUGUUUUGAAAUCUAAUGUCAUUGAAAAUAUUUUUAAUUAUAAUUUUCAGAUGUCUUCUAAUCAUUUUAGAAUGUUUAGGUAAAGUUUCUUAUUUGAAAAAAAAAAUCAAAUCUCAUAAUUUUAUAAGUGAUUUUAGAAUGGUCUAACGAAAAUCAUGUUAAAACUCAAUUGAUCUAAAAUCAUUAAAUUUACUAAAAAAUCAAUUCAUUUCAAUCUAUAGACUUAAUACACCCCAUGUAAUAAUAUUUGUUAUUAAUAUGUGUUUCUUAUUCAAACUAAACUUUGGAGUAGUAAUAAAGGUGAUUUUUUGAAAUGUACAUAGUAGAAGAAGAAUUAAGAAUAUAUCCAUGCAUUGGUAUGUAUGUCAAUUUGGUAUAAUAUUGGAUGAGUUUUUCUUUCUCUGUGCGUGAUCAUUCGUCAAGGCAAUGUUGUAUAUAACACUACACUAUAAUUGUUAAAUAUAUAGUACAAUACAAUCAAUUAACAACAAUUAACACUAUGUACAUAUAUAUAUUGUAAAGCUGCAUUUCUGUUAUAUGUUUCUCAAAUAGAAUAGCACACAACAAACUACUACAUUUCAUUUUGAACUGUUCAUAUUCUCCAGAGUUGAUGGAUAACAAUCAUAAAAUGUUUUGAUAAAAAAAAAUAAUCAUAAAAUGUAGGAAAACAUACGAUUUGCGGAUGAGUUAGUGGCACUGUUGCUGGAGUUUUCCAUCUUUUCCAAUUAUGAAACUUAAUAUCAUAUCCUAUACUAUACCAUAUUGUAUUUCUAAUGGUAUAAUCUUUGUUUUAUUGGUUGAAAGUGUUUAACACCUUUUUGGCCAUUAUCGAUUUUCAAUAAUAUAGUAUUGUAUGUUGUUGCUUGUAAUAGCUAGUCUUAAUCAAUAAAUAUAAACUAUUUGAUUCAUAAAAAUGAUAUAACAACAAAAUAUAACAUAUGUCUUUUACUGUAAAACCACAUCUCUAUUUUAUGUUCAAUAAAUAGAAUAGAACUAAACAAAUUUUACAUUUUAGACAAAUAAGAAUAGCGAGGCAGAAGAGAUAUAUGAUUAUCAGAGUGCUGGUUGAGUUGCCAAAGUUGAUGAGAAAAAGAAACUACUGCAUAAGAUGAAAGAGAAAAAGAAACGUUGAGAAAAGAUAAAGAGAAUACAAGUGGAGACAAUGGUGGAAGCGGCGAUCGUGAAGAAGAACGAAACAAUCGGCAACAGUGAUGGUAGUGUUACAAAUAAUAAAGACUAAGGCGGAAGAAAAUGAAGUGAUCGGAGAUGGAAGAGAUAAAAUUAUUGACAUAGAAGAAAAGAAAAUAUCUGGUGUGUAAUACCAAAAGGUAAAAAAGUCACUUGAUACAUGAUAUACAUGAAAUAUCAUAGCCAAGCAUUUGCAAUGGGUAGAAACUUAGUUUUGGUUCUGCUAUCUAUACGUUCCCUAAUUUCUCUUGUAAUAACAUACAUUUUCUUAAAUCUCUAAAUGCUUUUUUGUCAUCACCUCUCAAAGUUAAAUUUUUUUUAACAAAAAAACCAUUUGGUUUACAUUUACAUGCUUCAUAUGAAAGAAAUAUUUCUCCUAUACCUUUCUAUAGACUUCAAAAAUUUUUAUGGAUUUGAGACUGGUCUUGUUGAAAACCAAUAUCUUAGUCCAUCUUCCAACCUUGUGUGAUCUUCUCUUUGGACUGAAACAAAUCUGUUUCUGAUAUUUCUCUCCAUGAUUCUGAUGAUUGUUGUUGUGGUUAAAGGCUUCUCUCCAUGCCUUCUACCAUUCCUCUCCAUCCAUAACCCAUGAAUCACAGUUUGAAACACAUAUCUCAGGGUGAACUGUUUUGUGGUGGUCUGAUUUCCAGAGAUUGCUUCCACUAUUCUUCUCCAAGAACUCAUAAACUCAUCUCCCAUCACUCCUUUUGCAAGGUUUUCCCAUACGACUGUUGAGAAUAUACACUAAAGAACAAGUGGUUUCUGGUUUCUAGGGGAUCAUCGCACAACGAACAAGCAGAGUUAACGGUUCCUCCCCAUUUCAACAUCCUAUCACCUGUGUCUAAUCUAUUAUGUAUAGAUAACCAUGUGAGAAAAGCAAACCUUGGAGUUGCGUAUCUGAACCAGACUCCAUUACUCCAAUUACAGUUAGCUCCUCUCGUUCUCAACAAUUCUCAAAGUUUAGGGGGUGUUAGUGGAGAUGAGAUUUAUAAUGAGUCUAAGUCUAGUGUUAUUGGUUUAUAGAUUCUCAUAUUCUCAUUAAAAUCUAUUGUUAUUGGUUUGAUGAUUCUAUAAUUCUAUUCAAAAUCAUUUGUUAUUCAAAAAGUUUAGAUUUUAAUGAUUCUACAAAUCUAUUAAAGUAAGUGUUAUUGGGAGUUGAAUUCUUAUCAUUUUAACUCACAAAUUAAGAUUUUGAGAAUACUAUAUGGGGGUGUUAGUGGGACUUAGAUUUCUAUAGAGUUUGUUGAUUUUAAAAGUUGGGAGAUUUGUUAAAUUUGGAAAGAUAUGUAGAGAAUUUUAUAUAUUGUGAAAAUCUAUUAAAAUAAAGUAAUGUAAUGAUUCUAAGAAUUCAAGGUAAACAUGUAGUAUUCUCAAAAUCUUAAUUUGUGAGUUAAAAUGAUAAGAAUUCAACUCCCAAUAACACUUACUUUAAUAGAUUUGUAGAAUCAUUAAAAUCUAAACUUUUUGAAUAACAAAUGAUUUUGUAUAGAGUUAUAGAAUCAUCAAACCAAUAACAAUAGAUUUUAAUGAGAAUAUGAGAAUCUAUAAACCAAUAACACUAGACUUAGAAAUUCUAAGACUCAUUAUAAAUCUCAUCCCCACUAACACCCCCAUAGUGUUUACCUUGAAUUCUUAGAAUCAUUACAUUACUUUAUUUUCAUAGAUUUUCACAAUAUACAAAAUUCUCUACAUCUCUUUCCAAAUUUAAUAAAUCUCUCAACUUUUAAAUUCAACAAACUCUAUAGAAAUCUAAGCCCCACUAACAACCCCUUAGUUUAAAUAAGAAAGAAAACAAAAACUUUAAGUCUUUGUUUUAAGAUUUAUAUAUCAGAUGCUUCUUUCACACACUCAAAACCAAAUCGAGAUUACAAAAUAUUCCAACGGUACGUAUGAUCAUAUGACACCCCUUUGAGAGGAAAAAAAGAAAGCAGGGGGUUAUCAACCGCGAUUUUCAGAAGUUUCUAGAGUCUUUCCAGAACAUAGAUUCUGUUUUUAAAAGAGUCUUAAAAACCUGAUAAAAGCUUGGAUCAUAUGUA